RNAcentral lists this ribosomal RNA (214 nucleotides) under uncultured bacterium. RNAcentral describes it as "partial 16S ribosomal RNA". It matches the Rfam family "Bacterial small subunit ribosomal RNA", at positions 138 to 334 of the family's 1533-position model. The record is from RNAcentral.
UCGGGAUAACCAGCCGAAAGGUUGGCUAAUACCGGAUAGAGCGCAUUCUUCGUAGAGGAGAGUGCGGGAAAUGAGGGCCGUAGCAAUACGGCUCUUGCACUGAGAUGAGCCUGCGUCUCAUUAGCUAGUUGGUAAGGUAAUGGCUUACCAAGGCUUUGAUGGGUAGCUGGUCUGAGAGGACGAUCAGCCACACUGGAACUGAAACACGGUCCAG